GAUGAACGCUGGCGGCGUGCCUAAUACAUGCAAGUCGAGCGAACAGACGAGGAGCUUGCUCCUCUGACGUUAGCGGCGGACGGGUGAGUACCACGUGGAUAACCUAACUAUCCGACUGGGAUAAUUUCGGGAAACCGGGGCUUCUACCGGAUAAUAUAUUGAACUGCAUGGUUCAAUCGUGAAAGUCGGUUUUUCUGUCACUUAUAGCUGGCUCCGCGCCGCAUGAGUUAGUUGGUAAGGUAACGGCUUACCAACGCGACGAUGCGUAGCCGACCUGAGAGGGUGAUCGGACAGACUGGAACUGAGACACGUUCCAGACUCCGACAGUGAGCAGCGGUAGAGAAUCUUCCGCAAGGGACGAGUGCCGGACAGUGCAACGUGGGGGGAGUGAUGAUCGUGUUAGGAUCGUAAAGCUCUGAAAGUAGGAGAGAACAAAUGUGUAAGUAACCAUGCACAUCUUGACGGUACCUAAUCAAAAAGCCACGGCUAACUACGUG
RNAcentral lists this ribosomal RNA (497 nucleotides) under uncultured bacterium. Its description in RNAcentral is "partial 16S ribosomal RNA". It matches the Rfam family "Bacterial small subunit ribosomal RNA", at positions 28 to 507 of the family's 1533-position model. The record is from RNAcentral.